UACGUAGGGCGCAAGCGUUGUCCGGAAUUAUUGGGCGUAAAGAGCUCGUAGGCGGCUUGUCGCGUCUGCUGUGAAAACCUGAGGCUCAACCUCGGGCUUGCAGUGGGUACGGGCAGACUAGAGUGCGGUAGGGGUGACUGGAAUUCCUGGUGUAGCGGUGGAAUGCGCAGAUAUCAGGAGGAACACCGAUGGCGAAGGCAGGUCACUGGGCCGCAACUGACGCUGAGGAGCGAAAGCAUGGGGAGCGAACAGG
RNAcentral lists this ribosomal RNA (253 nucleotides) under uncultured bacterium. Its description in RNAcentral is "partial 16S ribosomal RNA". It matches the Rfam family "Bacterial small subunit ribosomal RNA", at positions 524 to 776 of the family's 1533-position model. The record is from RNAcentral.